GCCCCGUGAUGAGACCAAGGCGAAUGUGAGCUCAUUGGAUAAUAGUCGGAGCUCUCCUGUGUCCCAAUUGGCUGGUAAUCUUGGCUGAGCAGUGGAGAUUUGCUGCUUUGCUGUAAGGGCCUGCCUACAUUGAACAAGCCCCUCCCCUUAAGCUUUUCCUUAGAGAUAUGUAGGAAAGAGAGUUGGGUAGGGUUGUCAGUGUGUGUGUGUGUGUGUGUUGGAACACCGGUCGAGACUCUGUUCUCUAUAAUGUAUAGUGGGCUAUGAGCAUGUUCUUUGGUAAUCUGAGGGCA
Small nucleolar RNA from Xyrauchen texanus (razorback sucker), 293 nucleotides. Lineage: Eukaryota; Metazoa; Chordata; Actinopteri; Cypriniformes; Catostomidae. The record is from RefSeq and is a predicted model, not a curated record.